Molecule: long non-coding RNA, 2430 nt
Filed under: Homo sapiens (human)
Lineage: Eukaryota; Metazoa; Chordata; Mammalia; Primates; Hominidae
Description: HSALNT0062148
Source: RNAcentral
GCUGGGUAUAUGUUGCUGAGAUAGCUUUUCCCAGCACACUCACGGAAGGAUGGGGUUGUGUAAACAUGAUGACUAUAGCAAAACACCAAUAGGGAGGGAUGAUGGGAAAGCCAAACACAGGUCAGGUCAGUAAAGGAAGCACAAGUCCAGGGGCCAGUUCACUCUUCUACCUGAAGCAGAGACAGCACCAGCUCCUGUAAUGUCGGAAGAAUUAUGACUGCCCAGCCAAACAAAGCGUAGAUAACACCACACCCUGCACUUUUCACCUGAGCAAAUGUCACCAAGAUCUCAUGCACGUCAUCUGCCUUGGAAUUCAAGGUCUCCUUGGGAGUCUCAUGUCCUUGCCAAGCCUUCGCCAGGCUCUCGCCACUGCCGUUCCUCUACCAGCCCAAGUCUACAUUCUGAGGCUCUAGGAACACGAGAGAGAACUCCAGUGCUCACAUCCCAUAUUGACCCUCUUUAUGUUCUUCAAUUACCACCUACCUGAAAAAGCCUCAAAGUCUCAGGGGAACAUUCUGGAGUCCCUGCUGCUGAAGAGGGUUUUUUGAGUUUUGGUCGUCUUCCAAAGUUUACUGUAUGAAGUCUUAGUGCUUCACUGGAGUUUGUCAUAUGUCUGGAUAAUAAAUAAGUUUCAAAAAUGUAACUAACAUAAGUUCCAGUUGAAUUUCCAAGGCUAGCAGAAUUGUGUUCUUCUUCCUCUCCCUUUCCCUCCUCCCUGCCUCCACCAACUGCCACAGCGUAUAUUAAAAGCUGACGUGCCAAACUUUGCCUUCCGGCAGAAAUUACCUCGGAAAUAAAGCUAAGAUUCCAGGGGUCCUGGCCUUGAAGAGAAUCUAAUCCAAGAAGACAAGCGGAACUGAGAGGCCUAGGAAGACUUAAAGUUGGAAGGAAAGAAUUCACAGCUAAUUUGGAGGAUAAACAGAAAAGUAGUUCAGCAUAAUGUGAACAUUUUUCCAUGUGCUACAGCAAAGGAAGAGGAUUUGGGAUAUUUAAGGAGGAGAGUUGCCCUUUCCACCUUAGCCUGCUUUUCUCAGAGUUGGCAUUCAACCACCAAAACAGCCAGAAACCAGAGGGCUGUUCCCACACCCACAAUUUAUAUAGCUUUACUCCAUUCAUAGCAGGUAGAUAUCUAACGACACUUAAGGCUUCCUACCAAAUUUUUACAAUUUCAUUUUAUUGCUCAUGAUUCUCUUUUGCUACUUUCAUCAGCUUUGUGUCCUGGAAUUUCACUUAGCCUGGCAGGCCUUCCCUCUGCCACAGCUAAAAGAGAACUCAAAUAGACUUUGUCUCGGGAGUGGGACAUGACCCAGUCAUAUGGGGUAGCAUAUAUCCCUUCCCGCACUAAUUGUUCUGCUUUUUUAAAUCCUUGCUUUCAAAAGAAAUGUAAUCCUUAUGUUUCUACCUCAUUUACACUUAAUUUAGGAAAGCCCUCUUUCAUAAGAGCUGUGUGAUGUCCAAACAGCCUUCUUGACACACACGCCCCUCUUCAAGAGCCUCUAGAAGUCUUCCAAAGUCAGAACCAAUGCCUUCUGACUCUAAAUUGAAAAUCCAAUUAAACACGCAAUUUAGGUGAAUACCAGAAAGUUUACCCUUGAAUUUUCAGCUAGCGCCUACUCUCACAAAAGUAUUUGAGAGCAUCGAAAUUCUAGAAUCUAGAAAAAGAAUCUGUAGUGUGUGCUAACAAUUUACUUCUCUAGCAUCAAUAAUUUCUGACCCUGCAGCAAGUCCCAGCACCAGGAAGUGACGCAUUUGAAUUCCAUAGGUCACCUUAGCAUCUAGUAGCAAUGCCCAAGACAUGGGCUCCAGAGCAUACUUCCUGCAUUUGAAUCCUACCUUUACAUCAUAAGUUAUUUGUAAAUAUCAAAUGAGUCAAAGCAGGCAAAGCACUUAUUGUAGUGCUGGACGUAGUCACUACUCGGUCCCAUUACCUGUGAUCACUAGGCUUUUGCACACUGCUCUUGGUGCUUAUUGGGAACAAUAUAAGAAUUUACUGUAUCUACAGGAAGAUAUUUCUGCAAUUUUUGUAAAACUACUUUUAAAGAUACUGCUCAUUUUUCCUUUUAAUGUCCCGUCUAGUAAAUAAGCCUUUGUUAAAGUAAUGUUAGAUUACUCAAGCUAGAAAAACAGAAAUGUGCCCUCCUGAUUAACUAACAGGCUUCCUUUAACUUUAAUAUCAUAAACACAGAUGAGUGACUAGUUUUUCAUUCUUAUUUUAUUCUUUGCUUUGGCUGUCAAAAAGUCAGGGUUUAUGUUUGGCUAUAGUAGCAAUCCUGAGUUUAGCAAUAAUAAUAGCUCUCAGUUAUUUACGAAAAAAGUGCUAAUGUUUAAGAGCAUUUUGUAAUGUUAUUGUCUGAUUUUUGCACUCCAAAAAUAAAAAUUAAAAGAGGGCAAUUCCUGCAAAUAAAUAUACCUGAAAUUAAUACACAAGAA